RNAcentral lists this transfer RNA (74 nucleotides) under Deltaproteobacteria bacterium. Its description in RNAcentral is "tRNA-Lys". It matches the Rfam family "tRNA". Rfam says of the family: Transfer RNA (tRNA) molecules are approximately 80 nucleotides in length. Their secondary structure includes four short double-helical elements and three loops (D, anti-codon, and T loops). Further hydrogen bonds mediate the characteristic L-shaped molecular structure. tRNAs have two regions of fundamental functional importance: the anti-codon, which is responsible for specific mRNA codon recognition, and the 3' end, to which the tRNAs corresponding amino acid is attached (by aminoacyl-tRNA synthetases). tRNAs cope with the degeneracy of the genetic code in two manners: having more than one tRNA (with a specific anti-codon) for a particular amino acid; and 'wobble' base-pairing, i.e. permitting non-standard base-pairing at the 3rd anti-codon position. The record is from RNAcentral. Lineage: Bacteria; Pseudomonadati; Myxococcota; Myxococcia.
GGGCCGUUAGCUCAGUCUGGUAGAGCAGCUGACUCUUAAUCAGUUGGUCGAGGGUUCAAAUCCUUCACGGCCCA